UAAUUAAUAAUAAUCCUAAUUUUAAAAAAUAUUUCUACUGUUGGAUCCUUUCGUACUAAAACAGUAAUAACAAUACUAAAAGAUAGAAACCAACCUGGCUCACACCGGUUUGAACUCAAAUCAUGUAAAGUUUUUAAGGUCGAACAGACCUACCUGUGGAACUUCUACACCCCACUGAAACUUUAAUUCAACAUCGAGGUCGCAACUACUUUCGUCGAUAAGAACUCUCAGAAAAAAUAACGCUGUUAUCCCUAAAGUAACUUAUUCUUAUAAUCCUCAUUAAAGGAUCAAAAUUCUCUAAAAAUAUCUAUUUCAACUAACAAACAGUUACAAUUAUAUUCUUGUCGCCCCAACAUAAUAUACCUACAUUAAUAUACUUUAAACUUAAAUUCAAAAACUAAUAUUCUAAUAUAAAGUUUUAUAGGGUCUUAUCGUCCCCUUAAAUCAAUUAAGCCUUUUCACUUAAAAGUUAAAUUCAAUCUUUAUAAACGAGACAGAGUACUUCUUGUCCAACCAUUCAUUCCAGCCUCCAAUUAAAAGACUAUUGAUUAUGCUACCUUCGCACGGUCAAAUUACCGCGGCCCUUUAAAAAUUUCAGUGGGCAGGCCAAACUUUACAUAUUAUCGUAAAAACAUGUUUUUGAUAAACAGGCAGAAGCCCUUAUUUGCCGAAUUCCUUUUUUAUACCUAAAAGAAAGUAUUUCAUUUCCUUAAUUUUAAACUAUUAAAUCCACACUACUACAUACUUAUAUAACCAUUUCAUUUAAUUGCUUACAAUUAACAAUCAUUUUUCCCUACCAUCUCUAGAAAACAUAUAAAAUUAGGUUUCCCUUAUCUUAACUAGAACGCUUUAUAAAUAUAGCUAAUUUUAAGCCUAAUUCAAUAAAUUAAAUCCCUACCUUCAUAGAAACUUUAAACAAAGAGCUCUUCCCCUCUGCUUUUCCCUAUCACCACAUCUAAAUCAAUAAUAGCAAAAUUAAAUUUCUUUCAAGAAAAACUAGAUAUAUAAGGCUCGACUAAAAUAUCAUUACUAACUCACUAUUCUAUAUUAUUUUAACACAUAAUUAUAAUUAACAAAUUAGCUCUCCUCACUUCGAGACCCCGCCCGAUAUAACAAUCAUAUUAGCUACCCCUGAUACAAAAGGUACAAAAAUUAAUUUUUACUUUUCCCUAAUUUAUAUACAUCCUUCUCUUACGAUACUAUUCCUCUCUAGUUCAAUUAAAAAUUUCUUUUUAAUACUAAUUCUACAAUAUAAUUUCUUUUUUAAAAUUUAUAUCUAAUAUACUC
This 1287-nucleotide ribosomal RNA is filed under the name Oplophorus spinosus. Its description in RNAcentral is "16S ribosomal RNA". Lineage: Eukaryota; Metazoa; Arthropoda; Malacostraca; Decapoda; Oplophoridae. The record is from RNAcentral.